CUGGCUGUAAACGAUGAGAACUAGGUGUUCGAGGUAUCCACUCCUCGAGUGCCGCAGCUAACGCAUUAAGUUCUCCACCUGGGGACUACGGCCGCAAGGUUGAAACUCAAAGAAAUUGACGGGGGCCCGCACAAGCGGUGGAGCAUGUGGUUCAAUUCGACGCAACGCGAAGAACCUUACCUGGGUUUGACAUCCGCUGACCGCCUAUGAAAGUAGGUUUUCCCGCAAGGGACAGCGAGACAGGUGC
Molecule: ribosomal RNA, 247 nt
Filed under: uncultured bacterium
Lineage: Bacteria
Description: partial 16S ribosomal RNA
Rfam family: Bacterial small subunit ribosomal RNA
Source: RNAcentral